UUUUAUUGGAGAGUUUGAUCCUGGCUCAGGACGAACGCUGGCGGCGUGCCUAAUACAUGCAAGUCGAGCGCGGGAAGCAGGCUGAUCCCUUCGGGGUGAAGUCUGUGGAACGAGCGGCGGACGGGUGAGUAACACGUGGGCAACCUGCCUGUAAGUCGGGGAUAACUCCGGGAAACCGGAGCUAAUACCGGAUAACACUUCAGACCGCAUGGUCAGGAGUUGAAAGACGGCUUU
This 234-nucleotide ribosomal RNA is filed under the name Salinibacillus kushneri. Its description in RNAcentral is "16S rRNA. Bacterial SSU". It matches the Rfam family "Bacterial small subunit ribosomal RNA", at positions 1 to 215 of the family's 1533-position model. Lineage: Bacteria; Bacillati; Bacillota; Bacilli; Caryophanales; Bacillaceae. The record is from RNAcentral.